UUGGCCAGAAAGUUUAUUCGGGUUUUUCCAUAACAUCUUAUGGAAAAACCCAAACAAUUUUUUUUGCCAA
Molecule: microRNA precursor, 70 nt
Filed under: Tursiops truncatus (common bottlenose dolphin)
Lineage: Eukaryota; Metazoa; Chordata; Mammalia; Artiodactyla; Delphinidae
Description: miRNA (ENSTTRG00000024885.1)
Source: RNAcentral